CCUACGGGGUGCAGCAGUGGGGAAUAUUGGGCAAUGGGCGCAAGCCUGACCCAGCAACGCCGCGUGAAGGAAGAAGGCUUUCGGGUUGUAAACUUCUUUUAUCAGGGACGAAGCAAGUGACGGUACCUGAUGAAUAAGCCACGGCUAACUACGUGCCAGCAGCCGCGGUAAUACGUAGGUGGCAAGCGUUAUCCGGAUUUACUGGGUGUAAAGGGCGUGUAGGCGGGAGAGCAAGUCAGAUGUGAAAACCAUGGGCUCAACCUGUGGCCUGCAUUUGAAACUGUUUUGCUUGAGUACUGGAGAGGCAGACGGAAUUCCUAGUGUAGCGGUGAAAUGCGUAGAUAUUAGGAGGAACACCAGUGGCGAAGGCGGUCUGCUGGACAGCAACUGACGCUGAGGCGCGAAAGCGUGGGGAGCAAACAGGAUUAGAUACCCUGGUAGUC
This 443-nucleotide ribosomal RNA is filed under the name uncultured bacterium. Its description in RNAcentral is "partial 16S ribosomal RNA". It matches the Rfam family "Bacterial small subunit ribosomal RNA", at positions 338 to 795 of the family's 1533-position model. The record is from RNAcentral.